Molecule: ribosomal RNA, 503 nt
Filed under: uncultured bacterium
Lineage: Bacteria
Description: bacterial SSU rRNA
Rfam family: Bacterial small subunit ribosomal RNA
Source: RNAcentral
CCUACGGGAGGCAGCAGUGAGGAAUAUUCCACAAUGGGGGAAACCCUGAUGGAGCGAUGCCGCGUGCAGGAAGACGCUUUUCGGAGUGUAAACUGCUUUUAACAAGGAAGAUUAUGACGGUACUUGUAGAAUAAGGACCGGCUAACUACGUGCCAGCAGCCGCGGUAAUACGUAGGGUCCAAGCGUUAUUCGGAAUUACUGGGCGUAAAGCGUUCGUAGGCGGUUUGAUAAGUUGGAUGUGAAAUCCUGUGGCUCAACCACAUGGACUGUGUCCAAAACUAUCUGACUAGAGCAUAGUAGAGGCAAGUGGAAUUUGCGGUGUAGGAGUGACAUCCGUAGAUAUCGCAAGGAACACCAAUGGCGAAGGCAGCUUGCUGGGCUAUUGCUGACGCUCAGGAACGAAGCGUUGGGGANCGAACGGGUAUUAGGAUACCCCGGGUAGUCCACGCCGUUAAACGNUGAUCACUANCAGUAUAGAGAUACGUACCUCUGUGUUGUCGACG